RNAcentral lists this ribosomal RNA (433 nucleotides) under uncultured bacterium. Its description in RNAcentral is "partial 16S ribosomal RNA". It matches the Rfam family "Bacterial small subunit ribosomal RNA", at positions 29 to 507 of the family's 1533-position model. The record is from RNAcentral.
AACGAACGCUGGCGGCAUGCCUAACACAUGCCAGUCGAACGAGACCUUCGGGUCUAGUGGCGCACGGGUGCGUAACGCGUGGGAACCUGCCCUUAGGUUCGGAAUAACUCCCCGAAAGGGGUGCUAAUACCGGAUAAUGUCUUCGGACCAAAGAUUUAUCGCCUUUGGCUGGGCCCGCGUUGGAUUAGCUAGUUGGUAGGGUAAAAGCCUACCAAGGCGACGAUCCAUAGCUGGUCUGAGAGGAUGAUCAGCCACACUGGGACUGAGACACGGCCCAGACUCCUACGGGAGGCAGCAGUGGGGAAUAUUGGACAAUGGGCGAAAGCCUGAUCCAGCAAUGCCGCGUGAGUGAUGAAGGCCUUAGGGUUGUAAAGCUCUUUUACCCGGGAUGAUAAUGACAGUACCGGGAGAAUAAGCGCCGGCUAACUCCGUG